RNAcentral lists this ribosomal RNA (119 nucleotides) under Pteropus alecto (black flying fox). Lineage: Eukaryota; Metazoa; Chordata; Mammalia; Chiroptera; Pteropodidae. The record is from RNAcentral. RNAcentral also lists the same sequence under 1 other name.
GUGUAUGGCCAUGCCACCCUGAAUGUGCCCAAUCUGGUCUGAUCUCGAAAGCUAAGCAGGUUCAGGCCUGGUUGGUACUUGGAUGGGAGACCACAUAGGAAGACCAGGUGCUGUAGGCA